CAAACAUUACAGUCAUUAAGAAUACACAGGCCAUUGAAAUCAAGUCCUACAUCUUGAGGUUUACUUUUAAGUUUUUUAUUGUAUUCUGUUAUUGCCGCUCACUUAAGUGUAUGGUUCUGUUUUCGAGCUUGGUGUAUUCUUUUCUAAAUGCUGUGUCUGUAACCAAAUAGACAGAAACUGUUGUUUCAAGUAUUUUUAUGCGUUUUCUUAAGUUGCAGUGUGUUGACCUCUCUGGGCCACCGUAGUCUUCGACCCAUAAGAGCGUUUCCGGAAUUAGCGCCUCUGCCGGCCACAUGAAAUAUGAAGAAUUACGAGUUAUUUUUCGCCUCUGUGGUUUUGGUAUUAUCAAUGGACUAACGUUAUAUCUAUUACGACAUUCAUUUAAGUACAUGUGAAAUAUAACAAAGAUGGCCACUCAAAAAGAAUGCCAAGAUUGUAAGAAAAAAAUCGGGGUAGCCAGCAAGACAUGUAAGCACUGUGGUGCCAGGCAGCCUUACAAGCAAAAACUGGAGAGAAUAAAGAAAAAACUCUCUGCUGGCUGGAAAGAGAGGCAGAAAAAAAACAGCAGCGUCAACAAAGUAUAUGAUGCAACAGCUCUGCUGCUCCACAAAUGGGAACUUCUGGAGCGUCACCCGAUCCUGCUCCUUGCCAGGAGAACUGCACAUGGCUUUUCAGCUGAAUGCUUCUGUCCAUGGCAAAUUAAUGCAAAAGAUGCUAAAGAUGCCCUUGUCACAAUAAAGAGGAUUUAUGAAAGUCUUCUUAACAGUAACGUACACAAAUGUGCAUGCAUGCUGUGCUUCCACCUAAGAGUUCCUUACGUGACUGCUGAAUGACAGCUUAUUAGAGAAUCCUGGGUUGACAUGAGAGGAAUUUUUAAAAAGAGGGAAAAAGGACAAGUUAGCUUCACUAACAGCACAAAGUUAAAGUUAAAAGAAUUUGACAUCACACUACAUAUAAAUUUGUUCAUGGAAUUUCAGCCUCCUUCCCGCAAUGAAUGGGAAUGAACUGCAAACUGUUGGUAGUUUUUGGCCCUUUUAGAACAAUGUCCACUCUUUCUUAUGUCAAAUGUCCAUGUCACAUUUUUUUCUUUCCAAAAGUGACGAUGGGAGCCGAAGCAGCAGUCAAAACUGGGGAGAUUCCAGCCCCAGACAAUGAGGAGUCUUCACAGACUCCACCACCAGACCACCUUGCAUCUUACCCAGCGUCGGAUUCCACGUCCCACUCUCUGACCUGUCCUGUGUCCCCCUCUCCUCCUCAUCCUGCUUCCUCAUCCUACUGGACUUCUCCUUUGUCCCCCUGUCUAACCCCCCGUGUCAUCAUCUGUGACUCCUCCUGUAUCCUCCUGUCAUAUGCCUCCUGUGUCAUCAUCGCUGACCCUUUCUGUUUCUUCCAAAUUCUGCUCUCCUGUGUCCACUCAGCUAGACACUCCUGACUCAGUAUCGUCCUCACAGAAAAAAGGACCUGAAAGCCAGAAAGCAGACACCAGUGAAUGUCCAGUUCAUCAAGGGUCCACAAGUUUCCCCUACAAAAAAAUACUGGGCAAAAGAAUCAGGGAGGGCCGUGCUGAGGUGUUGGUACAGUGGCACCCUUGCUCUGGAUGGUGUGUAUGUUCUUAUACCGCAGCUGAUAGGGCAGGUUGUCAAACUAACAACAAAGGGAAAAAAGCAGAGCAGUGACAGUGAAAUCUAAUUGUCAGGCAUUAAAUGAAAUUAGCACCGCUUUUUACGGUUAAAAAUGUUUACGAUCAACCAGUGACAUCUAUAAACAUCUUAAAAAAAAAUUUCAAUUCUAAAAUUGAGUUUCUCCUUCUGUGAAGACUAGCAGGCAGUUAUAAAACAUUUGUCCUGUACGCAGACGCUUUUACCUGACAUAAACAGAAUUUUAAAUUGACUGAUUACACACAAGCAUUCUAAGGAUACCUCUGCUAAGUCACCCUAGAUUGCUUGCAUGCCUGAAGACUCCAUGUCUCACUGCACAUAGAGCAUGUGCAUGGUGUCUGUUCCCAACCAGUUAAGAACAAUGUGACAAUAAAUAAUUGUUGCCAUCUUUCUUUGUCUCUUACAGUGGGGAAAACUGGCAAAACACAUGGGAGCCAAAAGAAAAUAUACAAAGUUAAUAUCAUCUCCCAAAUAUAAAUGUUUUGAUUGUUGCUGUGUUAUAUGAAAUUUGCAGAGACUUUCAGAAUCAGGAUUGUUGAAAUGCAGUUUUUUUCCCACUUGUUAUCAACUCGGUUUUACUCAUCUCUGCAACGGCCUUAAAGAGUACAUAGGUCCCCUUUUCCUGCAUGUUAGGAGAAGGGAUAGAUAAAAUAAACAUUUGAAAUAACAUUUGUCGCGGGCUGUGUACACUUGAUUGUUAACAGUAGGUUUGUCAAUUAAGAGGCCAAAAUAAGUUGAAUUUCUCUAACAACUUUAACUUGGGAUCACUGCUGUCAAGUUAGGAUCUUAUUCCAUAGGAUGUAUUUCUGCACAUUCAUCUUGAAACCACAUUGCUCAUAGUAAAAAAAUGGUCAACACUCUGAAGUUCCCCCCAGCUACACUCUCAGUGUAGGGUUAGCAGGAGGGACUGGGGCCCUUCACAAAAUAAGUGGCAUUACGAGGAUGGAAGAUCAUGUGGAUAUAUUGAAGCAACAUCUCAGGACAUCAUCCAGGAAGUUAAAACUUGGGUCUUCCAAAUGGACAAUGACCCCAAGUAGACUUUCAGAGUUGUGACAAAAUGGCUUAAGAGCACAGUCAAGGUGUUGGAGAGGCCAUCAAAAACCUGACCUCAAUCCAAGAAAACAUUUGAGGGUAGACCUGAAAAAAUGUGUGUGAGCAAGGAGGCCUACAAACCUGACUCAGUUCCACCAGUUCUGUCAGGAGGAAGACGUCCUGAA
Monopterus albus (swamp eel) is the source of this 2875-nucleotide long non-coding RNA. RefSeq lists it as uncharacterized. The transcript has 5 exons. The record is from RefSeq and is a predicted model, not a curated record. Lineage: Eukaryota; Metazoa; Chordata; Actinopteri; Synbranchiformes; Synbranchidae.